RNAcentral lists this ribosomal RNA (253 nucleotides) under uncultured bacterium. RNAcentral describes it as "partial 16S ribosomal RNA". It matches the Rfam family "Bacterial small subunit ribosomal RNA", at positions 524 to 776 of the family's 1533-position model. The record is from RNAcentral.
UACGAAGGGGGCUAGCGUUGUUCGGAUUUACUGGGCGUAAAGCGCACGUAGGCGGAUCUUUAAGUCAGAGGUGAAAUCCCAAGGCUCAACCUUGGAACUGCCUUUGAUACUGGGGAUCUUGAGUCCGGGAGAGGUGAGUGGAACUGCGAGUGUAGAGGUGAAAUUCGUAGAUAUUAGGAAGAACACCAGUGGCGAAGGCGGCUCACUGGUCCGGUACUGACGCUGAGGUGCGAAAGCGUGGGGAGCAAACAGG